CUGGCUUCUCGUGGCUGAAGGUUGGAGACAGGAGGGUGGCUGUUGCUGUCAGUGAGUGUGAGUCCAGCUGUCACUGCAGAACUCAACUCGUCACCUUGGAGGCCGUCACCUUGAGCCGUUGGGCUGUACAUGGGCAUGCUCGGCAGACAGACACACGGUACUCCACCCUGGGGAUCAGAGGCAGGUUGGGCUCAUCCACCCAGUGCCACCCAGAGAGCAGAUGAGCCCCUGAGGCACCCACCUAGAAGGACCAUCCUCUCCAUUAAACAAUGAGCU
This is a long non-coding RNA of Phyllostomus discolor (pale spear-nosed bat), 276 nucleotides long. RefSeq lists it as uncharacterized. The record is from RefSeq and is a predicted model, not a curated record. The transcript is spliced from 3 exons. NCBI's taxonomy places the organism in Eukaryota, Metazoa, Chordata, Mammalia, Chiroptera, Phyllostomidae.